ACUCCCGCGGGAGGCAGCAGUGGGGAAUAUUGGACAAUGGGCGCAAGCCUGAUCCAGCCAUGCCGCGUGAGUGAUGAAGGCCCUAGGGUUGUAAAGCUCUUUCACCGGAGAAGAUAAUGACGGUAUCCGGAGAAGAAGCCCCGGCUAACUUCGUGCCAGCAGCCGCGGUAAUACGAAGGGGGCUAGCGUUGUUCGGAAUUACUGGGCGUAAAGCGCACGUAGGCGGAUCGAUCAGUCAGGGGUGAAAUCCCAGGGCUCAACCCUGGAACUGCCUUUGAUACUGUCGAUCUGGAGUAUGGAAGAGGUGAGUGGAAUUCCGAGUGUAGAGGUGAAAUUCGUAGAUAUUCGGAGGAACACCAGUGGCGAAGGCGGCUCACUGGUCCAUUACUGACGCUGAGGUGCGAAAGCGUGGGGAGCAAACAGGAUUAGAAACCCGUGUAGUCC
RNAcentral lists this ribosomal RNA (444 nucleotides) under uncultured organism. Its description in RNAcentral is "partial 16S ribosomal RNA". It matches the Rfam family "Bacterial small subunit ribosomal RNA", at positions 335 to 796 of the family's 1533-position model. The record is from RNAcentral.